RNAcentral lists this ribosomal RNA (752 nucleotides) under Stenocypris sp. 17 IK-2017. RNAcentral's name for it is "eukaryotic LSU rRNA". It matches the Rfam family "Eukaryotic large subunit ribosomal RNA", at positions 1306 to 1928 of the family's 3401-position model. The record is from RNAcentral. Lineage: Eukaryota; Metazoa; Arthropoda; Ostracoda; Podocopida; Cyprididae.
CCAGCCCUGAAAAUGGAUGGCGCUCUAGCGUUUUGCCUAUACUCAACCGCCGAAUCUGAGCUGGUGUUGGGGCCCUUAUGAUUCGGUGAGUAGGGAGGUGCAAGGGUGAGCGCAGAAGGGUGUUGGGCGUGAGCCUGCCUGGAGCCACCCCUUGGUGCAGAUCUUGGUGGUAGUAGCAAAUACUCAAGUGAGACCCUUGAGGGCUGACGUGGAGAAGGGUUCCAUGUGAACAGCACUUGCACAUGGGUGAGUCGAUCCUAAGCCAUUGGCGAAAGCCGUUUCCAAAUUGUCGGGCCAUCACGCAAAAAAAUCACUAUCUCUUUGAGGGGGUGUGGGAUUUUUAAAAGCCGCGUGCGCCCCUAUGGAGGAGUAAGGCGAAAGGGAAUCCGGUACUCAUUCCGGAACCCGGACGCGGGGAGUAGCCGGGGCUUUUUUCAAAAAAAAUGUCCCCGGCCUAGCCGCAAGGCAUUUGCCUACUCAGGGAUGUCCAACCGGAGGGCCGGGAAGAGUUGUCUUUUCUGGUUAAGGGGCCGAGGGCCUUGUGAAUUGGGUCGGUCAGAGAGAGGGUCUUGGCCCCGAAGAGCGCCGCGGUUCUUGCAGCGUCCGCGCCACUCCGGUCUGGAACUUGAAAACCUGAGGGUGAGAAUGCGUACCUUCGCGCCGGUUCGUACCCAUAUCCGCAUCUGGUCUCCGAGGUGAACAGCCUCUAGUCAAUGGAUUAAUGUAGGUAAGGGAAGUCGGCAAGUCAGAUC